This 447-nucleotide ribosomal RNA is filed under the name uncultured bacterium. Its description in RNAcentral is "bacterial SSU rRNA". It matches the Rfam family "Bacterial small subunit ribosomal RNA", at positions 329 to 793 of the family's 1533-position model. The record is from RNAcentral.
UACCAGACUCCUACGGGAGGCAGCAGUGGGGAAUAUUGCACAAUGGGGGAAACCCUGAUGCAGCGACGCCGCGUGAGCGAUGAAGUCUUUCGGUAUGUAAAGCUCUCUCAGCAGGGAAGAAGAUGACGGUACCUGACUAAGAAGCCCCGGCUAACUACGUGCCAGCAGCCGCGGUAAUACGUAGGGGGCAAGCGUUAUCCGGAUUCACUGGGCGUAAAGGGAGCGCAGGCGGCACGGCAAGUCUGAUGUGAAAGCCCGGGGCUCAACCCCGGGACUGCAUUGGAAACUGCCGGGCUGGAGUGUCGGAGGGGUAAGCGGAAUUCCUAGUGUAGCGGUGAAAUGCGUAGAUAUUAGGAGGAACACCAGUGGCGAAGGCGGCUUACUGGACGAUCACUGACGCUGAGGCUCGAAAGCGUGGGGAGCAAACAGGAUUAGAUACCCGUGUAU